This 1081-nucleotide ribosomal RNA is filed under the name uncultured fungus. RNAcentral's name for it is "eukaryotic LSU rRNA". The stretch from base 497 to 1081 matches the Rfam family "Eukaryotic large subunit ribosomal RNA", at positions 1 to 598 of the family's 3401-position model. Lineage: Eukaryota; Fungi. The record is from RNAcentral.
GGAUCAUUACAGAGUAUCAUUCUCUACAAACCCUUCGUGAACGUACCCUUCCGGUUGCCUCGGCGGGCGGCCCCCGGCGUCUUCGGGCGCCGGGCGGCCCCCGGCCCCACCUCGGGGCGCUCGCCGGCGGACAUCAAAACUCUGCUUCAGUGGCCUCUCUGAGUGAAAUACUUUAAUAAGUCAAAACUUUCAACAACGGAUCUCUUGGCUCCAGCAUCGAUGAAGAACGCAGCGAAAUGCGAUAAGUAAUGUGAAUUGCAGAAUUCAGUGAAUCAUCGAGUCUUUGAACGCACAUUGCGCCCGCUAGUAUUCUGGCGGGCAUGCCUGUUCGAGCGUCAUUUCAACCCUCAAGCCCAGCUUGGUGUUGGGGCCCUGCGGCGGCCGCAGGCCCCGAAGAACAGUGGCGGGCUCGCUAUAACUCCGAGCGUAGUAGUUACACCUCGCUCAGGGCGUUUAGGCGGGUGCCGGCCGUUAAACCCCCCCACAUACCAAAGGUUGACCUCGGAUCAGGUAGGAAUACCCGCUGAACUUAAGCAUAUCAAUAAGCGGAGGAAAAGAAACCAACAGGGAUUGCCCUAGUAACGGCGAGUGAAGCGGCAACAGCUCAAAUUUGAAAUCUGGCUUCGGCCCGAGUUGUAAUUUGUAGAGGACGCUUUUGGCGCGGCUCCUUCUGAGUCCCCUGGAACGGGGCGCCACAGAGGGUGAGAGCCCCGUAUAGUGGGAAGCCAAGCCUGUGUAAAGCUCCUUCGACGAGUCGAGUAGUUUGGGAAUGCUGCUCUAAAUGGGAGGUAAAUGCCUUCUAAAGCUAAAUACCGGCCGGAGACCGAUAGCGCACAAGUAGAGUGAUCGAAAGAUGAAAAGCACCUUGAAAAGGGGGUUAAAUAGCACGUGAAAUUGUUGAAAGGGAAGCGCUUGUGACCAGACUUGCGCCGGGCUGGUCAUCCAGUGUUCUCACUGGUGCACUCUGCCCGGCGCAGGCCAGCAUCGGUUCUCGCGGGGGGAUAAAAGCCUCGGGAACGUAGCUCCUCCGGGAGUGUUAUAGACCCGGGGCACAAUACCCUCGCGGGGACCGAGGACCGCG